This 1688-nucleotide ribosomal RNA is filed under the name Klebsiella variicola. RNAcentral describes it as "bacterial LSU rRNA". It matches the Rfam family "Bacterial large subunit ribosomal RNA", at positions 1260 to 2925 of the family's 2925-position model. The record is from RNAcentral. Lineage: Bacteria; Pseudomonadati; Pseudomonadota; Gammaproteobacteria; Enterobacterales; Enterobacteriaceae.
CCUGUGAGGGUUGCUGGAGGUAUCAGAAGUGCGAAUGCUGACAUAAGUAACGAUAAAGCGGGUGAAAAGCCCGCUCGCCGGAAGACCAAGGGUUCCUGUCCAACGUUAAUCGGGGCAGGGUGAGUCGACCCCUAAGGCGAGGCCGAAAGGCGUAGUCGAUGGGAAACAGGUUAAUAUUCCUGUACUUGGUGUUACUGCGAAGGGGGGACGGAGAAGGCUAUGUUAGCCGGGCGACGGUUGUCCCGGUUUAAGCAUGUAGGCGGAGGUUCCAGGUAAAUCCGGUACCUUUUAACGCUGAGGUGUGAUGACGAGGCACUACGGUGCUGAAGUAACAAAUGCCCUGCUUCCAGGAAAAGCCUCUAAGCAUCAGGUAACAUUAAAUCGUACCCCAAACCGACACAGGUGGUCAGGUAGAGAAUACCAAGGCGCUUGAGAGAACUCGGGUGAAGGAACUAGGCAAAAUGGUGCCGUAACUUCGGGAGAAGGCACGCUGGUGUGUAGGUGAAGUCCCUGCGGAUGGAGCUGAGACCAGUCGAAGAUACCAGCUGGCUGCAACUGUUUAUUAAAAACACAGCACUGUGCAAACACGAAAGUGGACGUAUACGGUGUGACGCCUGCCCGGUGCCGGAAGGUUAAUUGAUGGGGUUAUCCGUAAGGAGAAGCUCUUGAUCGAAGCCCCGGUAAACGGCGGCCGUAACUAUAACGGUCCUAAGGUAGCGAAAUUCCUUGUCGGGUAAGUUCCGACCUGCACGAAUGGCGUAAUGAUGGCCAGGCUGUCUCCACCCGAGACUCAGUGAAAUUGAACUCGCUGUGAAGAUGCAGUGUACCCGCGGCAAGACGGAAAGACCCCGUGAACCUUUACUAUAGCUUGACACUGAACAUUGAGCCUUGAUGUGUAGGAUAGGUGGGAGGCUUUGAAGCGUGGACGCCAGUCUGCGUGGAGCCAACCUUGAAAUACCACCCUUUAAUGUUUGAUGUUCUAACGUUGGCCCGUAAUCCGGGUUGCGGACAGUGUCUGGUGGGUAGUUUGACUGGGGCGGUCUCCUCCCAAAGAGUAACGGAGGAGCACGAAGGUUAGCUAAUCCUGGUCGGACAUCAGGAGGUUAGUGCAAUGGCAUAAGCUAGCUUGACUGCGAGCGUGACGGCGCGAGCAGGUGCGAAAGCAGGUCAUAGUGAUCCGGUGGUUCUGAAUGGAAGGGCCAUCGCUCAACGGAUAAAAGGUACUCCGGGGAUAACAGGCUGAUACCGCCCAAGAGUUCAUAUCGACGGCGGUGUUUGGCACCUCGAUGUCGGCUCAUCACAUCCUGGGGCUGAAGUAGGUCCCAAGGGUAUGGCUGUUCGCCAUUUAAAGUGGUACGCGAGCUGGGUUUAGAACGUCGUGAGACAGUUCGGUCCCUAUCUGCCGUGGGCGCUGGAGAAUUGAGGGGGGCUGCUCCUAGUACGAGAGGACCGGAGUGGACGCAUCACUGGUGUUCGGGUUGUCAUGCCAAUGGCACUGCCCGGUAGCUAAAUGCGGAAGAGAUAAGUGCUGAAAGCAUCUAAGCACGAAACUUGCCCCGAGAUGAGUUCUCCCUGAGACUUUAAGUCUCCUGAAGGAACGUUGAAGACGACGACGUUGAUAGGCCGGGUGUGUAAGCGCAGCGAUGCGUUGAGCUAACCGGUACUAAUGAACCGUGAGGCUUAACCUU